RNAcentral lists this ribosomal RNA (546 nucleotides) under uncultured Glomeromycotina. RNAcentral's name for it is "SSU rRNA". It matches the Rfam family "Eukaryotic small subunit ribosomal RNA", at positions 548 to 1100 of the family's 1831-position model. The record is from RNAcentral. Lineage: Eukaryota; Fungi; Glomeromycota.
UUGGAGGGCAAGUCUGGUGCCAGCAGCCGCGGUAAUUCCAGCUCCAAUAGCGUAUAUUUAUGUUGUUACAGUUAAAAAGCUCGUAGUUGAACUUCAGGCCUGGCCGGGCGGUCUGCCUCGCGGUAUGUACUGUCUGGCUGGGCCUUACCUCUUGGUGAACCGGCAUGCCUUUCACUGGGUGCGUUGGGGAACCCGGACGUUUACCUUGAGAAAAUUAGAGUGUUCAAAGCAGGCCUAUGCCUGAAUACAUUAGCAUGGAAUAAUAAAAUAGGACGUGCGGUUCUAUUUUGUUGGUUUUUAGGAUCGCCGUAAUGAUUAAUAGGGACAGUUGGGGGCAUUAGUAUUCCGUUGCUAGAGGUGAAAUUCUUGGAUUAACGGAAGACUAACUACUGCGAAAGCAUUUGCCAAGGAUGUUUUCAUUAAUCAAGAACGAAGGUUAGGGGAUCGAAAACGAUUAGAUACCGUUGUAGUCUUAACAGUAAACUAUGCCGACUAGGGAUCGGACGACCUCAUUUUGAUGCGUCGUUCGGCGCCUUACGGAAACAA